CCAAGAAGGUCAUCAAAUAGUACUUGUGAGGAUGUGGUUGCAGGUACUUUCAGGAGAAGAGCACCAAUAUAACUUGUCUCUGUGUGCACAUAUAUUCCAGAGGACAAAGGAUCCUGUACCAGAAAUAGAACUGCAGGUGGAAAUGGCCUAUGAGGGUUGUAGCUCUUCUGGCCAUCCCCUCAGAAGUGCUUGCUGCUUCUCUCCUUAUCCUGUAGUCCAAGAAGUGUGCAGAGAGUUACCUCUACAUGGAGAUGCUGGUAAGUGUGCAUUCUUGCUGAGAAAACAAUUACAAGGAUAACUGCUCCCAGUGCUUUUGAUGCCCAUCUACCUUCUGGGCAGAGCCCCGUAACUGCUGAUGCUGUGGCAGCAUCCCAGGAUGCUUCGGAAGUGAUGGAUUGAGGCACACAUGUAAUGACCUGUUCCAGUCAGAAACUGAGACAGCCUGAAAAGGAGUUGCUGAGCAGAUCUAUAGAAUGAGACAUGUCGAACAGCUCAGUCCUAAGGCAUUUGCCAUGAAGACUGUGUGAAGCCAGUACUCUCCCUUAGCAGCUACCUCGAUUCUAGGAGAUGUUUCAUUUCAUCAGACAGCUUUCUCCACAACUGAACAAGCACAAACAAAAUGCUCCCAGGAAUGUUAAAAUCUCGUGCAAUUUAUGCCAGAACCAUGCAGUCUGUUGAUGUCAGAGCUGUGUGUAGGGACUUCAGUAUAAGCGAGAAUCAUGCCGCUGAUUAUUUCACUUAUGGCUCCUUUGGCAUUCCGGA
Molecule: long non-coding RNA, 762 nt
Organism: Oxyura jamaicensis (ruddy duck)
Lineage: Eukaryota; Metazoa; Chordata; Aves; Anseriformes; Anatidae
Exons: 6
Source: RefSeq, a predicted model, not a curated record